UCCGGCUUAUCACCGGCGGUUUCUUUAGAGUGCCCAACUAAAUGAUGGCAACUAAAGACGAGGGUUGCGCUCGUUGCGGGACUUAACCCAACAUCUCAUGACACGAGCUGACGACAGCCAUGCAGCACCUGUGUAACACCCUCGAAGGCUUCCGAGCUUUCGUCCGGCGUGCAGUUACAUGUCAAGUCCAGGUAAGGUUCUUCGCGUUGCAUCGAAUUAAGCCACAUGCUCCACCGCUUGUGCGGGCCCCCGUCAAUUCCUUUGAGUUUUAGCCUUGCGGCCGUACUCCCCAGGCGGGGCACUUAAUGCGUUAGCUUCGGCACGGAGGGAGUCGACACCCCCCACACCUAGUGCCCAUCGUUUACAGCGUGGACUAC
This 377-nucleotide unclassified non-coding RNA is filed under the name uncultured bacterium. RNAcentral's name for it is "contains 16S-23S intergenic spacer region". The record is from RNAcentral.